CUCUCACAUUCCCGGCGAGGCGGCCUCGGGGAAGGAGGGCGAGCGCGGCCCGAGCUGCCUUCGUUCGGGGUGCGGCGAGGAGGAGGAGGAGGAGGGAGGAGAAGCGGCGGCGGGCGCUGCUCUUGCCGCUGCGGAAGGUUUUCUCGGGCGGCCUCUUUCCCUUUCUCCCCGCCUUCUGUCGCUGCGGCUGCGGCAGCUCUCGCUCGUCCCUAUUGUCAGUCAGUCAGUCAGUCAGUCACUGAGCUCCGGCCAUGGCCCUCUCCCGUCUCUCUCUCAAACACACACACACGCUCGCUCGCGCCCUCUCCCGCUUUCUCCGGCGCGCGCACGCGCUCUCGCGCUCUCUCUCACACACACACAUACACCGUCAGUCAGUCAGUCAGCCGAGCCAGCCGUUCAGGCCCCCGCUCGCAGCCGAACAUGCUGGGACCCUCGAGGCCCCGCCCCGCGCCCACGCCCCUCGGGAGGAUGGCGGUGGAGGGGGAGGAGCCGAGGCUGGGCGUGCGCGUGCCGGCACCGUUGACGUCCGCCGCCGCCAGAACGUCCGACGCGAAGCCUCAUUGGGCCGGAAGCAAGUCGGUUCCUCCUCCUCCUCCCGCCCCUUCCCCCCACCCCGGCUUCGUAUCGCCUCAAGCGGCAGCAGCGGCAAGAGGACAAGGCCGCGGCGGGAGCCGAGUGGUACGGGCGUUUUCUGUCAGGGAGAAAGGGAGACCGGCGGGCUCGCGGGGAGAGGCGAGGGUGGGUGGGUUGGUUCUCCCCGCGCCCCCUUCUCCCCCGGAGUCCCGCGGUCCUCUUGCCUCCCGCCACGGCCGGCGGCUGCGGUCUCCUGAGGGAAGCGGGGUGCUGCGCGGCGGCCGCCGGGCCUUAGCGAGGGGUCCGCUUCCGUUUGGGCUCUGGAAAUUAAGGGACUUGGGGGGGGGGUGCGGGGAUAUUUUUUUUCUGGAAAGGCUGAGGUAAGUAUUCACACGUGACGCAUUUCUCGACGCGUGGAGGAAGAAGCGGAAGCUCGCUGGCCGUGACCUGUGUCGCCUUUUCGCGGAUGUCGCGCGCGCGCGCUGAUCCUGGGAUCGCCCCUUUUCUCUGCGAGGCGGAUUUUGUUACUAUUAUUUUGCGAAGCAGCUGCCUGGCUUGUGAGGAAAGAGGAAGAGACGUUUCUGAGAGAGAACCCACAAAGCAAACCCCGCGGAGCGGUUUGCGCCCUGGUUUGAGGUGCGAUCCUGUGCCUACCUGCCUGGAAGCAGAAGCCUGGGGCGGAGACGUCUGAGAGGAGCCCAGCAGCGAGGAAGUCCCUGGAGCCUGUGAGGGCUUGGCGCCUAUCUGGGUGCUGCUUCCAGGCCAGGAGAGGCAGCUGGAGAAUGGCAGCUCGGACAUCAGAGAACGAGAAGAAGUUACAUGCUCUUCUGCCCUGCCCAAAUAACUUUUGGCCGUUUCUUUGCCUAAAAUAAGCUUGUUUAGUAGGCGUGGGUUAGUGUUCCAGGUGCAGUGAUGCGCCAGCUGUGACAGAUUGCAGGAUGCAGCAUGGUCUUGCCUUGCCUCUUCCUUUGGCCAGUCAGUAUACAUGCCCUCGGAAUUUGUCCUCACUGGGGUGGUGUCCUGACUACAUAUAGGGAUUCGUAUGAUGAAAUACUCCACGUCCAAAAGUAUUUCCUUUGUGUAAGGAAAUUAUCUUGCCAAGGAGAAGACACCAUCCUAGCUUCUGUGUAAGGUUUCCACAUGGAGGGAGGGAGUGAUGGUGCUGGUUUUUGUAUGGAGAAGUGUUGCAACAUAUGAAAAAUCCCACCCAAAAUUCCAGACCAGCCAUACCACUUCAUUGCUUAAGAAAGAAUUAAGGCUCACAUCUGGGGCCCAAUGAGUUAAUGAUGGGGACAGUCAGUGCAAUUUUUCUAGAAAAAGAGGUGCUAGAGCUCACCAAGAAAUUCUCCUCUGUUCUCUUAGAAUGGCGAUGGCACCUACUUGAGAGGUUCCAGAGCUGAGUUCAGUUGUCUGCAGUCCAGAACUCUCUUGUCUCUGAGGAGUAAAUUUGCCACUUCCAUCUUGGACAUUCUCCAUCAUUUUGAGCCCCUCCAAAGCCUAAAGCACUCUUGGAGCUCCAGGUGACUAGGAAUCACACCACUGCGCUGUCAGCCCCUGUAGUUCUUGGUCAUGGAGCCUACUCUGGAACUACCACAGAGAUACAGAUGGUGGGCUGUAAACAGCUCUGGUGUAGAACCAGUUCUCAUGAUUGGUAAUGCUCAAGGACGUGGACAAGGUACUUGAAUCAGUCGGGGGACGGCUUCCCCUCUGGAUCUUUGCCCCCAUGGUUGAUAAAAACUAUCAGGCAGAGGACAGCAUGCUGGGCUAGGGAGGUGGUUAAUGUCUCCCUGCAAGACAGGAUGGUCCCUGCCUGCUUGAAGGAGGCAGUGGUAAGACCACCCCUUAAGAAGCCUUCCCUGGAUUCAGAAAAUCUUAAGUAAUUACCAGCCAGUUGCCAAUCUCCUCUUCUUGAUUGCAUCAUCGCAGAUCAGGUUCAGGCACUCUUGGAGGAAACUGAUUUUCUAGAUCCAUUUCAAUUGGGGUAUAGGUCUGGUUUGGGCACAGAAACUCCUUUGGUCACCCUGUAUGAUGACCUCUGUCAGGAGAGGGGGGAAAUGUGUCCCUGUUAAUUCUCAACCUCUCAGUGGCUUUCAAUGCCAUAGACCAUAGUAUCCUUCUGGAGCAGCUGUAUGAGUUGGGGUAGGUGGGUGGCACUGCUUUUCAGUGGUCAGAUAGUCUAUUCCAGAGGUUGAUACUUAUAUCAUGUUCUUCGGCCCUUCAUUGUGGGGUUUCUCAGGGUUCAAAUUUAUCCCCUAUGCUAGUUAACAUUAACAUGAAACCACUGAGUUGGGUCAUCCAGUGUUUUGGAGUUUGUUGUCAGCGAUAUGCUGAUGGCACACAGCUCUACUUCUCCUUUACAUGGGUGUGCUGGACCGUUGUUUUUUAUUAGAUUGUAUGAGAGUCAACAAAUUGAAGCUCACUGAGGCACAGUUAGUGGGUAGUUUCCUAUACCAAAUGGAUGGGCAGUUGCCUUCUCUUGAUGGGGUUACACUCCUUCUGGAGGAGUGGGUACAUAGCUUGUGGGUGCUCCUGGAUCCCUUGCUGUCAUUUGAGGCUCAGGUGGCCUUUUGCCAUGUUAAGUGAAAGUAAUAGUAAAAAUUUCACCCAGCUGCUUCUGCAUACAAAAGUACAGUGACUCUAAAAGGAAGAUUGUUUACAAAGACUAGCCAAUUCAGCUAUAGAACCUCUGAAAUAUGUGGAACCAUCACUGGGUAAUGAGUUGUUGCACUAUAAAGAUCAUGUCUUAUUUUGCAAAUUUAAUGAAAUACAAAAAAGCCUGCAAAGGAAAGGCAUUACUACCAUUCAAACUCAAACUAUAAUACCACUAUUUCACAAACUUGCUGCACCUGUAAUGGGGAGCUGAGAAUAGUACUUCAGACAAUGACCUAUUGAUCUAUACAACACACCUUUCCUGAAUUGCAGGGGGUGGACUAGAUCAGUGUUUCCCAACCUUGGGCCUCCAGCUGUUUUUGAACUACA
Non-coding RNA from Podarcis muralis (Common wall lizard), 3552 nucleotides. Lineage: Eukaryota; Metazoa; Chordata; Lepidosauria; Squamata; Lacertidae. The record is from RefSeq and is a predicted model, not a curated record.